RNA transcript from Triticum aestivum (bread wheat), 2487 nucleotides. It is a transcript of the gene named rab escort protein 1, with no coding region annotated. The transcript is spliced from 10 exons. Lineage: Eukaryota; Viridiplantae; Streptophyta; Magnoliopsida; Poales; Poaceae. The record is from RefSeq and is a predicted model, not a curated record.
GAGAGAGUACUACCGAGGAAAGAAAAGCAUCUGCGUCGCCUUCCUCCCAAAACCCAAAUCGAACUCGCGGCGAUCUCUCGCCUUCCCAAACCAACAGACUAUGUACGGUCUUCUCGCUCUCGCGCCCCUCCCACAGUUUGUAGCGUGGCUGGCAGCAGCAGGGUGCCUCGCCGGCAGCUCUAAUCUUGGCACUGAGCUGUGCCUCCAACGUGUUUGAGUGAAUGCGCAGGUGGACGCGCUUGCUUUCUUCCACGCACUAGAUCUUGUGAAUUUUCCGUCUCCACCUGAUUUUGAGAUUCACCGCUGACCAUGGCUGACGCCUCCGCCGGCGGCGGUUCCCUGGAUGAAUACCCAACCAUCGACCCAACCUCUUUCGACGUGGUCCUCUGCGGCACCGGCCUCCCGGAGUCCAUCCUCGCCGCUGCCUGCGCGGCCGCCGGGAAGACCGUCCUCCACGUCGACCCCGACCCCUUCUACGGCUCCUUCUACUCCUCCAUCCCGCUCCCUUCCGUCCCUUCCUUCCUCUCCGCCGACUCCUCCACCCCCUGCCCGUCCUCCCCAACCACAACCUCCUCCGCCACCGCUGAAUACACCGCCGUCGAUCUCGAGCGCCGCAGUCUGUACUCGGAGGUUGAGACCUCGGGGACGGUUCCCGAACCGUCCAGGCGCUUCACGGUCGACCUGGUGGGUCCCAGGGUGCUGUACUGCGCCGACGAGGCCGUGGACCUUCUUCUGAGGUCAGGAGGAAGCCACCAUGUGGAGUUCAAGAGCGUGGAAGGGGGCAGCCUCAUCUACUGGGAUGGUGCGCUCUGCCCGGUGCCAGACUCUAGGCAGACCAUCUUCAUGGACAGCACACAUCGGUCUAAGGAGAAGCUUAAUCUUAGGGAUAAUCUUAAGGAGAAGACCCUCUUGUUCAGAUUCUUCAAGCUUGUCCAGUCACACAUUGCCGCAUCGUCUUCUGGCGGUAAGGAUGGGGAGGGCCAAGCCUCUGGUAAGAUAUCUGAGGAGGACUUGGACCUCCCCUUUAUCGAAUUCCUCAAGAAACAGCAGCUUCAACCCAAGAUUAGAGCGGUUGUGCUAUAUGCAAUUGCCAUGGCAGAUUAUGAUCAAGAUGCCGCAGACACAUGCGAGAAAUUGCUAACAACAAGAGAUGGAAUCAAGACCCUAGCUCUUUAUUCCUCGUCCAUUGGGAGGUUUGCUAAUGCCCAAGGUGCUUUCAUUUAUCCUAUGUACGGGCAUGGUGAGCUACCGCAAGCUUUCUGUCGCUUUGCUGCUGUUAAGGGUGCCCUAUAUGUGUUGCGGAUGCCAGUCACAGCCCUCCUCGUGGACGAGGAAAAGAAGCGUUAUAUAGGCACCAGAUUGGCUUCUGGUCAGGAUAUUUUGUGCCAGCAGUUGAUACUUGGUCCCUCGUACAAAAUUCCUUCAUUGGACAUGCCAUCUGAUGCUUCAGACUCAAACUUGACGAGAAAAGUUGCCAGGGGAGUAUGCAUAAUCAGCAGCUCCAUAAAAGAGGCUUCAUCAAAUGUUCUGGUUGUUUUCCCCCCAAAAUCAUUACAAGAGCAGCAAGCUACAGCUGUUCGGGCGCUUCAGCUGAGCAGCAAUGUAGCAGUAUGCCCUCCUGGAAUGUUCAUGGUAUAUCUGUCUACUCCCUGUACUGAUGCCUUUACGGGAAAGCAGUACAUAAACAAGGCAAUGGAGGUUCUUUUCAGUACUCAGGCUUCAGAUGAUUCAGAAGGCCAUUUGGAGACAACCAGCAAAAACAUCGAGGAUAGAAAGCCAGUGCUAAUCUGGAGUUGUGUGUAUGUUCAAGAGAUCACACAGGGAACAUCUGGUGCUGUAUUGUCAUGCCCCAUGCCGGAUGAAAACCUGGACUACAGAGAUAUACUGGAAUCGACAAAACAGGUAUUGCGUACGUUAUGUGUUGAUAAAUUUUAUUCUCAUUUCUGUACUUGCAGGAGAUACAGGCCAGGAUUCUGGCUCAUUAUGGAAGCUUCAGAACUGAACUGUACAUGUCAAUAGCGAGUGCUUUAUUACGGUGUUUGCAUUGAAGAAAGAGUAACUAGUGCUGGAGUGAAUUCGUCUAGUUCUUGUUAAUUACGUUGUGUCUGAUUUAUUUACAGAUAUUUAUCCUGACGAAGAAUUCCUGCCUAGAAACGCAACUCCUAAAUAUGCCGACGAUGACUCUGAUCUUGCAGAGUAGAAACAUGUUUGCAGAGGGUUAGUGUUUUUCUGGACAAAUAUUCCACAGAAGAUACAUGAAGGCAUUUUAGAUACAUCGCACCAACAUGGAUGAUCUGCUCAGUGAGCGAGACCACAGACAACGUUGAUGGUUGUAUGGCUUGUUGCAGUGCCUGUAGUUAUUACUGCACAAGCUACAUGUGGCGCCUUUCGUUUGUUGCACUGGUUCUUGCUACAUGUGGCGCCUUUCAUUUGUUGCACUGGUUCUUUGUACGAGUGAAACAGAGUAAUGAAAUUGAGUUUAAACUA